GCUCACGCACGUAGCACGUAAACAUGCACGAUUUAUGCAGGGUUGAUUAGGGUUUAGGUAGCUCACGGAAGAAUAUACAGGGUUGAGUUUAGGUAGCUCACGGGAAGAAAGAGACUUGUAUGGAAAACAAUGAUUUUGGUAUAUAAAUACGUCGUUUCACUUUCGACAAUCAAACCACCUUCAUCAAACCACCUUCAGACUCGAUCGGAGGCUUUCUAUAAUUGGAAACGAGGAUGUCGACAACCAUCAUGUGGUGUACUGUGAGCGGAGUCGGACCGGGCAAUAGAGCUCGGACAGAUCCGAUGAAGCUUCGAUAUGCACGGUCAACUUGAUGGUUCUUCCAAACAUAUUGAACUCAAGUCCCUCCGUUCGAGAAAUAUCACUCUCCUUACUCCCUUCGAACGGUAACCAUGAAAAUGGCUGCAAAUCCAUCGAGGUAAAAUCCUUCCUUUCUCUGCCAUCUGAUUUCAUGACCUCCGAGGUCAGAUGAAAUCAACCUUGACUUCAUGCAUGCGUCCGAUUAUCUGUCUGAUGCUUGUAUGCUCUUUGCCAAGGAAAUGGUCAAUCCGAUGGAUCUGCAAACAUAAAAAAGAGGAAUCCUCUCGGAAAUGACAGAUUCUGUCUGAUGUAUAGAUGACUGGAAUAAUAAAUGGAAAAAAACACAGAUCUGCAUCGAUACUCAACAGAACCACCGCCACCACCAGGCGCCGCCGCGGCGUUAAAUUCUGGGCCUCCAACGUACGGCUUCCUUUUCUAAAACCCUCUCUACUCAAGGUAAGUUAUUCUAGGUUUUAGUCCAUUUUCAGAUCAUCCCCAAUUUCGAAAUUUUAGGGAAUUGAUUCGUUUUCCUGUUGCAUGUUUAACAUUCAUCUGGGUGAUGGUGGUUUGAGGGUGUACGAACUGGAAUUGCUGAUGGUAGGCUUGAAUUUGGCCAAAUUUGGCUAUUCAUACUCUGAUCACAAUUGCUGAGAGUGUCAAGAGCAAUGGAGUUGCCGUUGAAAAGAGCAUAAGCACCUCUAUUUUUGUCUCGAAGCUGGAUGGCGAAGAUGGACGGAUUGUGCUGAAGGCUCAGUUGGUGAUUUUGCUGGGAAAGGCUGAAGAAGUCGAGGAGACUGCAGUUCCUGUGGUUGCAGCGUGAAGGCAUAUAUGAUUCAGCAGAGUUUGAGUUGAAACUUGGAUGAUGAGUUAUAGCUGGGUAAUUCAUUAGAAUAAUAAGGAUGUGUCUAUGAGAGACAGGUUUAGCACUUUGCUUCCUAAUGCAUGUUUUCUACAUGUCCUUUGAUAUAAAUAAUGAGGUUUUUUGCAGCUCACAGCUCUCUCUCUCUCUCUCUCUGCUCACACACGCACACAGAAACAACCACAUUGUUAGAAAGUAGAAGAAACACUGGAAUUUAGUGAGUCUGAAACGUUAAGGUUGACAUUUAGGGUUCUCUUUCUUUCAGAGGCUAGAAGAUAUCUGGAUCUGCUUCAAAUUUCAAUUUUUGUGCCCAGAUUUGAGUGCCCUGUACGGUUUGUGUUGUGCUAAAAGCAUGAUUGUUUAUGUUGGAGUGGUUUAAGGGAAUGUCCAACUGAGUUGGGCAGUUUUUGUUCAUUUUGUUCAGGUGAGCAUCUUUGGAGGUAUUGUGGGUAUAUACCGUAUAUUGUCCGAAUUGGGGGUUUUAAAGUUGAAAUUUAAUCUGGGAUUCUGAAUUUUUUUUACAACUAAGUAAUUUGUUUUGUGAAAUUAGAUACUUUUUUGUGAAUUUUUUUUUAAUAUAUUGUUGUGGUAGUUAAGGUAAUUUACGCAUCUAAAAAUGCUCGAGAGUUGAAUGUGACAAAGUAAGCAGAUCAGCAUGUAAACCUGAAACCAAGAAGCUCAAACCCUGAGAAUUUGAUGCAGUAAUAACCUUAGUUAUGCGACUCAAAAUCUGAGGCAGCUUCUGGAUACUCAGGAAGGGAACAAAUAAAAUUAAAGGCAUCAAGUUACAGAUCCCUGAAGGCUCCGAACCAGUUCAGAUAUGUCUGAAUGCUAAAAGCUUCUCAAAGAUGAAAAAUCUUCAAGUACUUUUUGUAAAUAGUAAUGUGCGCCUAUCUGGAGAAAUUGAUUAUCUCCCUAACGAGUUGAGACUCCUUCAUUGGCAUGAAUAUCCAUCACAAGUUUUGCCCAAAUGGAAGUUGCAGCCGCGUCACAGCCUUCGAAAUAUACAUGUAUAGGUUAUAAGUAAUUAGGAGAACUAUAUACAAUUGUUAAGGUAAAGGCGGAUCCCUAGUGUUUUCUUAACUUGAUUUCUACAAAACUAUUCCAUUUUUCCUCAUCUU
Non-coding RNA from Malus domestica (apple), 2298 nucleotides. Lineage: Eukaryota; Viridiplantae; Streptophyta; Magnoliopsida; Rosales; Rosaceae. The record is from RefSeq and is a predicted model, not a curated record.